Molecule: long non-coding RNA, 728 nt
Organism: Suricata suricatta (meerkat)
Lineage: Eukaryota; Metazoa; Chordata; Mammalia; Carnivora; Herpestidae
Exons: 5
Source: RefSeq, a predicted model, not a curated record
UCCCAUCCCCUGCGCUGCUACCUUCCUGAUGGGUUCCAGAAUUUGUCAGUGGGAGGGAAGUAGAUACCCUGACUAGACAGCUGGAUCUGAAGGCUGGAUCCCCAGUGUGGAAAGCAUAGGAGAGAGAAGACUUAUGAAGGCUCAUCAAAAGUCAUCAUGAACACACCUUUCUGCAGUUCUUUGAAUAGGUUGUAGGUUCUCAUCCAUCGGGUUGCAGCGCAAAUUAACUCCUCUCUGAUGGAAAGAGCCUGUAUCUUGAGCCGACUGGUGACCGCAUGGCUUAUACCAGGAGCUCCCCACAGGGGUGAUAUUGCCUCUCAGAAGACAUCCAGCUGAGUCUGGAGACAUUUCUGAUUGUCACAAAAGGGCGAGGGAGGAGUGCUCUCGGCACCUGCUCCAGGACAUAGUCAUCUGCCUGUGACGCUGGCAACUGUGGCUGCCAAUUUUAGGACGUUGAGGGAGGAGCCUAAGAGGGUAUUGCAAUACACCGGAUGGCAGAACAAAAGUGAGGAUGGACCCAGUGUCCCCGGAGACAUAGCCAAGUCCCUGUAUGAACCAGUCUGGAUGACCUCGCCCUUGGACUUCUCGUCACGUGAAAGAAAAAUUGUCCUCAUUGUUUAAGCUACGUUUAGUAGUUGUUUUUGUUUCUGUUUUUAUUUUUUGAUACUUGCAGCCCCAAACACUCAAACUAAUACUGUGGGUAAAAUUUCCAUUUAUAAAGCGGGGGA